Molecule: ribosomal RNA, 463 nt
Filed under: uncultured bacterium
Lineage: Bacteria
Description: partial 16S ribosomal RNA
Rfam family: Bacterial small subunit ribosomal RNA
Source: RNAcentral
GACGAACGCUGGCGGCGUGCUUAACACAUGCAAGUCGAACGAAACGGCCGGGCCUUUGUGGGGUGCUGGAGUUGCGACCGGGUGAGUAACACUUGGGUACCGUGCCCCUGACUGUGGGAUAUCCUCAUAAAAGUGAGGCUAUUCCCACCUAGGAGUUACUGCUGCUGGAUGGGGGUUGGUAAGUUUCGUCGGUUGGGGAUGUACACGCGUUCGAUUAGCUUGUUGGUGGGGUGGUAGCUUACCAAGGCUACGACGCAUAGCUGGUCUGAUAGGAUGAUACGCCACACUGGGACUGCGACACGGCCCAGACUCCUACGCGAGGCUGCAGUGUGUAGUAUUAGACGCUGAGCGAAAGUCUAAUCCCGCCAUGUCGCGUGAGUGAUGCAGGCCGUAGGGUUGUACAGCUCUUUGACCCGGGGUGUUAAUGACGGUACCGGGUAAAUAAGCACCGGCUAACUACGUG